AUUACGACCCCACUAUAUAGGGCGAAUGGCGACGUCGCAUGCUCUGCGCCAUGGCCGCGCGGAAAUUCGAUAGGAGUUUGAUCAUGGCCCAGGACGAACGCCUGGCGGCGCGCCUUUCAACAUGCAAGUCGAACGAGAGCCCCGGGCUUGCCCGGGGGGACAGUGGCGAAUGGGAGAGUAACACGUGAGGAACCUGCCCCGAAGACCGGGACAACACCGGGAAACCGGUGCUAAUACCGGAUGUCCUCGCUGGAUCGCAUGGUCCAACGAGGAAAUGGAUUCCGCUUCGGGAUGGCCUCGCGGCCUAUCAGCUAGUUGGUGAGGUAAUGGCUCACCAAGGCGACGACGGGUAGCUGGUCUGAGAGGAUGUCCAGCCACACUGGGACUGAGACACGGCCCAGACUCCUACGGGAGGCAGCAGUUUGGAAUCUUGCACAAUGGGCGAAAGCCUGAUGCAGCGACGCCGCGUGCGGGAUGAAGGCCUUCGGGUCGUAAACCGCUUUCAGCAGGGACGAAAUUUACGGUUCCUGCAGAAGAAGCCCCGGCCAACUACGUGCCAGCAGCCGCGGUAAUACGUAGGGGGCAAGCGUUGUCCGGAUUUAUUGGGCGUAAAGAGCUCGUAGGCGGUUUGGCAAGUCGGAUGUGAAAUCUCCAGGCUCAACCUGGAGGGGUCAUCUGAUACUGCUAUGACUAGAGGUCGGUAGGGGAGUGUGGAAUUCCUGGUGGAGCGGUGAAAUGCGCAGAUAUCAGGAGGAACACCCGUAGCGAAGGCGGCACUCUGGGCCGAUACUGACGCUGAGGAGCGAAAGCGUGGGGAGCGAACAGGAUUAGAUACCCUGGUAGUCCACGCCGUAAACGUUGGGCCCUAGGUUUUCGGUUCUAUCGACGGACUCCGUGCCGUAGCUAACGCAUUAAGUGCCCCGCCUGGGGAGUACGCACGCAAGGCUAAAACUCAAAGGAAUUGACGGGGGCCCGCACAAGCGGCGGAGCAUGUGGCUUAAUUCGAAGCAACGCGAAGAACCUUACCAGGCCUUGACAUCCAAUGAAUCUGCUAGAGAUAGCGGAGUGCCUUCGGGAACAUUGAGACAGGUGCUGCAUGG
This 1100-nucleotide ribosomal RNA is filed under the name uncultured bacterium. RNAcentral's name for it is "bacterial SSU rRNA". It matches the Rfam family "Bacterial small subunit ribosomal RNA", at positions 1 to 1048 of the family's 1533-position model. The record is from RNAcentral.